RNAcentral lists this ribosomal RNA (1867 nucleotides) under Enterococcus faecalis. RNAcentral describes it as "partial 23S ribosomal RNA". It matches the Rfam family "Bacterial large subunit ribosomal RNA", at positions 332 to 2210 of the family's 2925-position model. Lineage: Bacteria; Bacillati; Bacillota; Bacilli; Lactobacillales; Enterococcaceae. The record is from RNAcentral.
GUUGAAGGAUUUGGAAAAUUCCGCUAAAGAGGGUGAAAGCCCCGUAGACGAAAUGCUGACAACACCUAGGAGGAUCCUGAGUACGGCGGAACACGAGAAAUUCCGUCGGAAUCCGCGGGGACCAUCCCGCAAGGCUAAAUACUCCCUAGUGACCGAUAGUGAACCAGUACCGUGAGGGAAAGGUGAAAAGCACCCCGGAAGGGGAGUGAAAUAGAUCCUGAAACCGUGUGCCUACAACAAGUCAAAGCUCGUUAAUGAGUGAUGGCGUGCCUUUUGUAGAAUGAACCGGCGAGUUACGAUUGCAUGCGAGGUUAAGUCGAAGAGACGGAGCCGCAGCGAAAGCGAGUCUGAAUAGGGCGAAUGAGUAUGUAGUCGUAGACCCGAAACCAUGUGAUCUACCCAUGUCCAGGUUGAAGGUGCGGUAAAACGCACUGGAGGACCGAACCCACGUACGUUGAAAAGUGCGGGGAUGAGGUGUGGGUAGCGGAGAAAUUCCAAACGAACUUGGAGAUAGCUGGUUCUCUCCGAAAUAGCUUUAGGGCUAGCCUCGGAAUUGAGAAUGAUGGAGGUAGAGCACUGUUUGGACUAGGGGCCCAUCUCGGGUUACCGAAUUCAGAUAAACUCCGAAUGCCAUUCAUUUAUAUCCGGGAGUCAGACUGCGAGUGAUAAGAUCCGUAGUCGAAAGGGAAACAGCCCAGACCACCAGCUAAGGUCCCAAAAUAUAUGUUAAGUGGAAAAGGAUGUGGGGUUGCACAGACAACUAGGAUGUUGGCUUAGAAGCAGCCACCAUUUAAAGAGUGCGUAAUAGCUCACUAGUCGAGUGACCCUGCGCCGAAAAUGUACCGGGGCUAAACAUAUUACCGAAGCUGUGGACUACACCAUUAGGUGUAGUGGUAGGAGAGCGUUCUAAGGGCGUUGAAGGUCGAUCGUGAGGACGGCUGGAGCGCUUAGAAGUGAGAAUGCCGGUAUGAGUAGCGAAAGACAGGUGAGAAUCCUGUCCACCGUAUGACUAAGGUUUCCUGGGGAAGGCUCGUCCGCCCAGGGUUAGUCGGGACCUAAGCCGAGGCCGAUAGGCGUAGGCGAUGGACAACAGGUUGAUAUUCCUGUACCAGUUGUUUUUGUUUGAGCAAUGGAGGGACGCAGUAGGCUAAGGAAUGCAUGCGAUUGGAAGUGCAUGUCCAAGCAAUGAGUCUUGAGUAGAGUUAAAUGCUUUACUCUUUAAGGACAAGUUGUGACGGGGAGCGAAAUAAUAGUAGCGAAGUUCCUGAUGUCACACUGCCAAGAAAAGCUUCUAGUGAGAAAACAACUGCCCGUACCGUAAACCGACACAGGUAGUCGAGGAGAGUAUCCUAAGGUGAGCGAGCGAACUCUCGUUAAGGAACUCGGCAAAAUGACCCCGUAACUUCGGGAGAAGGGGUGCUGACUUCGGUCAGCCGCAGUGAAUAGGCCCAAGCGACUGUUUAUCAAAAACACAGGUCUCUGCAAAAUCGUAAGAUGAAGUAUAGGGGCUGACGCCUGCCCGGUGCUGGAAGGUUAAGAGGAUGGGUUAGCUUCGGCGAAGCUCAGAAUUGAAGCCCCAGUAAACGGCGGCCGUAACUAUAACGGUCCUAAGGUAGCGAAAUUCCUUGUCGGGUAAGUUCCGACCCGCACGAAAGGCGUAACGAUUUGGGCACUGUCUCAACGAGAGACUCGGUGAAAUUUUAGUACCUGUGAAGAUGCAGGUUACCCGCGACAGGACGGAAAGACCCCAUGGAGCUUUACUGUAGUUUGAUAUUGAGUGUUUGUACCACAUGUACAGGAUAGGUAGGAGCCGAUGAGACCGGAACGCUAGUUUCGGAGGAGGCGCUGGUGGGAUACUACCCUUGUG